AGAGUUUGAUCCUGGCUCAGAAUCAACGCUGGCGGCGCUGCCUAACACAUGCAAGUCGAACGCGACUGGGGGCUUCGGCUCUCAGUUGAGUGGCGAACGGGUGAGUAACACGUGGGUGACCUACCUUCGAAUGGGGGAUAACGUCCCGAAAGGGACGCUAAUACCGCAUAACAUCCUGCCUUUGAACAGGCGGAGAUCAAAGCUGGGGAUCGCAAGACCUGGCGUUUGGAGAGGGGCCCGCGUCCGAUUAGCUAGUUGGUGGGGUAAUGGCCUACCAAGGCUUAGACGGGUAGCUGGUCUGAGAGGAUGAUCAGCCACACUGGGACUGAGACACGGCCCAGACUCCUACGGGAGGCAGCAGUGGGGAAUAUUGGACAAUGGGCGCAAGCCUGACCCAGCCACGCCGCGUGAGUGAUGAAGGCUUUCGGGUCGUAAAGCUCUGUGGGGAGGGAAGAAAAAACGCUGGCCAAUAUCCAGCGGACUGACGGUACCUCCUUAGCAAGCACCGGCUAACUCCGUGCCAGCAGCCGCGGUAAUACGGAGGGUGCAAACGUUGCUCGGAAUCAUUGGGCGUAAAGCGCACGUAGGCGGUCCAGCAAGUCGGGUGUGAAAGCCCUCGGCUUAACCGAGGAAGUGCAUUCGAAACUACUGGACUUGAAUACUGGAGAGGAUCGCGG
RNAcentral lists this ribosomal RNA (677 nucleotides) under uncultured bacterium. RNAcentral describes it as "bacterial SSU rRNA". It matches the Rfam family "Bacterial small subunit ribosomal RNA", at positions 8 to 664 of the family's 1533-position model. The record is from RNAcentral.